Molecule: non-coding RNA, 542 nt
Organism: Miniopterus natalensis
Lineage: Eukaryota; Metazoa; Chordata; Mammalia; Chiroptera; Miniopteridae
Source: RefSeq, a predicted model, not a curated record
AAGAAGUUCCUGUGGUGUGGUCCAGGCGGUGCUCAACGGGUCCCACAAUAACACCUUUGAUAAAAACAGCAUUUUUCUAAGUGUGGAAGUCCCUAAUUUGAAUCCAAAGAAUGUUUCUACACUACAAGCCUUGGUCAUGGAUGACAUUGGAGGAAAUGUCAGUCACAAGUGCUUGGGACACAGCAUUGAUGAUCUGAAAUGGAUUUUAAACAACAAGAGUAUUCCAUUUUCCUGCCUGGAUGACUACAGGCCUCUCCAUCUUCUUCAGUGUGCAAAAACUCCUGAGCAUCCGUCUUGCAGCUCUGUAAUAUGAGCCGUAGGCAUGGUGGUUUCAGGUCUUUGAGAUCUUCGUAUGUGACUGUGCAUGACUCAGGAAACACCGUGGUGGAAAGCUGAAGAUUUGGGGGAUCUUCUGUCAUCAUGUCAACACCAGAGAUGAAGCCUUUCCCCCCAAAGUCUUAAAAUAACUUGUGCUAUAGGCAUAGUUUUUAUUUUUAUGUUGAUAUAUUAAUAUUCAAGAAAAGAUGAAUUAUUAUAUAAAA